Molecule: ribosomal RNA, 599 nt
Filed under: Enterobacter cloacae
Lineage: Bacteria; Pseudomonadati; Pseudomonadota; Gammaproteobacteria; Enterobacterales; Enterobacteriaceae
Description: bacterial SSU rRNA
Rfam family: Bacterial small subunit ribosomal RNA
Source: RNAcentral
UUAAAUCGACCGCCUGGGGAGUACGGCCGCAAGGUUAAAACUCAAAUGAAUUGACGGGGGCCCGCACAAGCGGUGGAGCAUGUGGUUUAAUUCGAUGCAACGCGAAGAACCUUACCUGGUCUUGACAUCCACAGAACUUUCCAGAGAUGGAUUGGUGCCUUCGGGAACUGUGAGACAGGUGCUGCAUGGCUGUCGUCAGCUCGUGUUGUGAAAUGUUGGGUUAAGUCCCGCAACGAGCGCAACCCUUAUCCUUUGUUGCCAGCGGUCCGGCCGGGAACUCAAAGGAGACUGCCAGUGAUAAACUGGAGGAAGGUGGGGAUGACGUCAAGUCAUCAUGGCCCUUACGACCAGGGCUACACACGUGCUACAAUGGCGCAUACAAAGAGAAGCGACCUCGCGAGAGCAAGCGGACCUCAUAAAGUGCGUCGUAGUCCGGAUUGGAGUCUGCAACUCGACUCCAUGAAGUCGGAAUCGCUAGUAAUCGUAGAUCAGAAUGCUACGGUGAAUACGUUCCCGGGCCUUGUACACACCGCCCGUCACACCAUGGGAGUGGGUUGCAAAAGAAGUAGGUAGCUUAACCUUCGGGAGGGCGCUACCAC